This 373-nucleotide ribosomal RNA is filed under the name uncultured organism. Its description in RNAcentral is "bacterial SSU rRNA". It matches the Rfam family "Bacterial small subunit ribosomal RNA", at positions 527 to 896 of the family's 1533-position model. The record is from RNAcentral.
CGGGGGAGCAAGCGUUGUUCGGAUUUACUGGGCGUAAAGGGCGCGUAGGCGGCCACCGCAAGUCGACUGUGAAAUCUCCGGGCUUAACUCGGAAAGGUCAGCCGAUACUGCGGGGCUAGAGUGCAGAAGGGGCAACUGGAAUUCUCGGUGUAGCGGUGAAAUGCGUAGAUAUCGAGAGGAACACCUGCGGCGAAGGCGGGUUGCUGGGCUGACACUGACGCUGAGGCGCGAAAGCUAGGGGAGCGAACGGGAUUAGAUACCCCGGUAGUCCUAGCCUUAAACGAUGAAUGCUUGGUGUCUGGGGUUUUAUAGUCCCCGGGUGCCGUCGCUAACGCUUUAAGCAUUCCGCCUGGGGAGUACGGUCGCAAGACUG